GCAGCUUGAAGCAUUUUCCGUGGGCGCUGAUUUUUUCUAUAAACUCAUCGAUGAAACGGCAUGGAUUAGCUCAAGGCACCUGGAAAUGGCAACCUUUCUUAUCCGCAAACGGCAACUCUCUCAUCCGUUGCUAUUUGGAACCGACUGGACAACGGCAGAUUAUGCCUUGCAGCAAUUCCUAGAGCCGUUAAAAGCGACUGGCAAGACACGUGGAUCGAAGAAGGCAGCUGCGUCCAACACCAGUGACCUUCCAGCCAACAAGCUGAAGAAUGUACAUCACUUUGUGAAUGGUACGUGGCAACACGGCUAUGCCCAAUCUUGGAAAAAAGUCCGCAAAGUCUAUUUUCCAUAUAAUCUUCGAGAGUCCCAUUGGGUUGCAAUCGAAAUUGAUUUCG
Prunus mume (Japanese apricot) is the source of this 395-nucleotide non-coding RNA. The record is from RefSeq and is a predicted model, not a curated record. Lineage: Eukaryota; Viridiplantae; Streptophyta; Magnoliopsida; Rosales; Rosaceae.